RNAcentral lists this unclassified non-coding RNA (1935 nucleotides) under Dendronephthya gigantea. RNAcentral's name for it is "triokinase/FMN cyclase-like, transcript variant X1". Lineage: Eukaryota; Metazoa; Cnidaria; Anthozoa; Malacalcyonacea; Nephtheidae. The record is from RNAcentral.
AUGUCCACAAAGACGCACGUCGAAACGCGUAGCAAAAAAAUUAUAAAUAAUCCGUAUGCUGUAGUUGACGAAGCUUUAAAUGGCGCGGUUCUCUCCAACAAUGAUGUGCAAUUACUAAAUGGCCAUCGUGUUUUGAUACGACGCGAUGUUGAUUGUGUUCGUGAGCGAAGUUUGGUGGCAUUGAUCUCUGGUGGCGGAAGUGGUCAUGAACCAGCGCACGCUGGAUUUGUAGGCCAUGGUGGAUUGACAGCUGCUGUUGCUGGUGAUGUAUUUACUUCACCUCCAACAAGAUCAGUUCUUGCUACCAUACGUGCUGUUGGUGCCAGUAAUGAAGGUGGUGUUUUGCUAAUAGUUAAGAACUACACUGGUGACAGGUUAAAUUUUGGUAUGGCCGCAGAACGGGCCAAACAGGAGGGUAUCAAAGUUGAUAUUGUUGUUGUAAAUGAAGAUUGUGCUUUGGCAAGUGUAGAUAAGACUUCUGGCAGAAGAGGAUUGUGUGGUACUGUCAUUAUUCAUAAAAUAGCAGGUGCGAUGGCAGAAACAGGAGCAUCAUUGGAGGAAAUGGUUCCAUUUUUGCAGGACACUAUCAAAAACAUGGGUACAAUGGGUGUAAGUUUAUCACCAUGCUCCAUACCAGGAUCACAGCCGUCAUUUCAUCUUGCGGAUGAUGAAAUUGAGCUUGGUCUUGGUAUUCAUGGGGAAAAAGGUGUGGAAAGAAUUAAGCUCUUAACAGCCAAGCAACUUGUGCAAAGAAUGGUGGAACAUAUGAGUACAGAAUCUGAGGCAGAGACCAAUAAAUUUUACCUAAAGAAAGGUGACAAACUUGGUUUAAUGGUAAAUAAUCUUGGAGGAACAACUCAAUUGGAAUUAUAUAUUGUAGCAAAAGAAGCAGUCCAGUAUUUGAAAACAAAAAAAGGUGUUGAAGUUGAGAGAAUAUAUGUUGGUACUUUUAUGACAUCUUUGGAGAUGGCUGGUGUUUCAAUAACCUUGCUACAUUUGAACGAAGAUAGAAAGAAAUAUUUAGAUUUUGAAACAAGGAUUCCUGGAUGGCCCCGGGUGUUUGGUGAUCAAAAUACUCCCAAUCCUCUUGAAGGUUACGAACCAGUAAACAGGGAGUCUGGAGAUGACAUGAAAGUGAAAGGACAAGCAUUAACAUCAGGAGGUCGUAAAUUAUACAACUGCCUGUUAAAGAUUGCAGAAACCUUAGAAGCCAAUGAAGAACGGCUUAACAAUUUAGAUCGCUUGGCAGGUGAUGGAGAUUGUGGCUCAACAUUAAAACGAGCUGCCAUAGGCAUAAAAGAUACUUUAGGAAACAUAGAGAGUUGUGGUAUUCCUUGUAAUACUCCAUACCAGGCCCUUAUUGUUCUCUCUGAUAUCAUUGAGGACCGCAUGGGAGGAUCAUCAGGAGCGCUUUAUAGUUUAUUUUUACUGGCUGGUGUUGAACAAAUCAAAGAUAAUGUUGAGCCAAUGCAGUGGUGUAAAGCCUUUGAAUGUGGAAUACAAGCAAUAAUGAGAUACGGUGGAGCUCAAGAAGGUUACAGAACAAUGUUGGACGCUAUGUGUCCCGCUGUUCUGGAGUUGAAGAAAGGUCUAAAGAACUCUGAUAAACCUCUGGAAUCUUUUCAAAAAGCAGUCAAGGCUGCCGAGGAUGGUGCACAGAACACGGCUAAAAUGCAGGCCCAGGCCGGCCGUGCGAGUUACAUUGGGUCUAGUAUUUUAUCGGAACCAGAUCCUGGUGCGGUUGCUGUUGCAUUAUGGAUGAAUGCGAUUUGUGCAGCUUUAAAAUAAUGACAUAAAAUGCGAAUAUGAAUGUGAAUAUGUGGAAUGUGCCCAGCUAAUUCUGUAAAAUGCUUGUAAAAGAUUAAUAAAAACCCUCUUGCCAUAAGGCUAACGAGUAGGAUAUUCAUAGUGUUUUCCAGAGGUGUUGAUUUCAUU